RNAcentral lists this ribosomal RNA (492 nucleotides) under uncultured bacterium. RNAcentral describes it as "partial 16S ribosomal RNA". It matches the Rfam family "Bacterial small subunit ribosomal RNA", at positions 29 to 507 of the family's 1533-position model. The record is from RNAcentral.
AGUGAACGCUGGCGGUAGGCCUAACACAUGCAAGUCGAACGGCAGCACAGUAAGAGCUUGCUCUUACGGGUGGCGAGUGGCGGACGGGUGAGGAAUACAUCGGAAUCUACUUUUUCGUGGGGGAUAACGUAGGGAAACUUACGCUAAUACCGCAUACGACCUACUGGUGAAAGCAGGGGAUCUUCGGACCUUGCGCGAUUGAAUAAGCCGAUGUCGGAUUAGCUAGUUGGCGGGGUAAAGGCCCACCAAGGCGACGAUCCGUAGCUGGUCUGAGAGGAUGAUCCGCCACCUUGGAUGUGAGGCUCGGUCCAGACUCCUACGGGAGGCAGCAGUGGGGAAUAUUGGACAAUGGGGGAAAGCGUGAUCCAGCCAUACCGCGUGGGUGAAGAACGCCUUCGGGUUGUAAAGCCCUUUUGUUGUGAGAGAAAAGCAGCAGGUUAAUACCCGGCUGUUAUGACGGUACCCAAAGAAUAAGCUCCGGCUAACUUCGUG